RNAcentral lists this unclassified non-coding RNA (336 nucleotides) under soil metagenome. Its description in RNAcentral is "partial contains 5.8S ribosomal RNA, internal transcribed spacer 2, and large subunit ribosomal RNA". The stretch from base 1 to 120 matches the Rfam family "5.8S ribosomal RNA", at positions 35 to 154 of the family's 154-position model. The record is from RNAcentral.
GAUGAAGAACGUAGUGAAAUGCGAUAAGUAAUGUGAAUUGCAGAAUUCAGUGAAUCAUCGAAUCUUUGAACGCACAUUGCGCCCGCCAGUAUUCUGGCGGGCAUGCCUGUUCGAGCGUCAUUUCAACCAUCAAGCCCCCGGCUUGUGUUGGGGACCUGCGGCUGCCGCAGGCCCUGAAAAGCAGUGGCGGGCUCGCUGUCACACAGAGCGUAGUAGCAUACAUCUCGCUCUGGGCGUGCUGCGGGUUCCGGCCGUUAAACCACCUUCAUAACCCAAGGUUGACCUCGGAUCAGGUAGGAAGACCCGCUGAACUUAAGCAUAUCAAUAAGCGGAGGA